RNAcentral lists this transfer RNA (77 nucleotides) under Acinetobacter baumannii. RNAcentral describes it as "tRNA-Asp". It matches the Rfam family "tRNA". From Rfam's summary of the family: Transfer RNA (tRNA) molecules are approximately 80 nucleotides in length. Lineage: Bacteria; Pseudomonadati; Pseudomonadota; Gammaproteobacteria; Moraxellales; Moraxellaceae. The record is from RNAcentral.
GCAGCGGUAGUUCAGUUGGUUAGAAUACAGGCCUGUCACGCCGGGGGACGCGGGUUCGAGCCCCGUCCGCUGCGCCA